Dreissena polymorpha is the source of this 1012-nucleotide long non-coding RNA. RefSeq lists it as uncharacterized. Lineage: Eukaryota; Metazoa; Mollusca; Bivalvia; Myida; Dreissenidae. The transcript has 3 exons. The record is from RefSeq and is a predicted model, not a curated record.
AUUUAGUUUAUUGAAUUAAUUAUGAUCACUAGUAUAUUUAUGUAUUGUCACUGGGAAAUGUAAAUUGAUAAGUUAAUGUAUCGCAAUUUAAAGGAAAAACAACACAAUUUGAAGCAAAUAUAGAUAAACAUACACAUGACAAAGUGUAAAUGUUGUGUACAGUGAAUUGUUGGGGUUGUGUUUUAUGAUUAUUGUCAUCUUUAUUGUUAUUUAUUGAUAUUUCUGGUUAUUACUGAACAGAUUUCUUUCCCUCAUAUUUUAAUGUUGAAGGUUAAACUCUUGCCCCAAGAGCAAAAGGGGUUAUCAUACUACCUGAUGUAUGGACUUUUAAACCAGGCUUUUACCCUGCAGAGCUGGCCAACUUGAGGGGAACUGAAGUGGGCAAACCUCGCCCUGUCCUUGAACAAGAAAGCUGGAUUUGUUGAGAGAGUAUCAUUAAAGCUGAAAUCCAGCAUGAAACCAGGGAGGUGAAGGCCAUCGCACAGGCCAUGUGCCAACUAUUCACUCCCCACCAGCUUGUGACUUGCUCCAUGAAGGGAGCAACAACUACAACGGGGUCACCAAGACCAAGCCUCCCUGCUGCUGAGAGAAAUGCAAUCAUUGAUGUCAUAGCCAAAACCUUUGACAAGCCUCUGGUGGAUGUUAAAGAAAAGAUGAGAGGUUGUUUAAGGCGUCUGCGGCUGAUGCACAAGUAGACUGAAGUCUUUGUAAAUAAAAUGUGCUGUUAAAAUGAUUAUUUAACCAUUGUUUUCACUUUGUUAUAUAGAUUUGCACCUGUUGCAACAUCAUUAACUUAUUUUUGUGCUCCCGAUAGGGUCUCAUAUAGCAGUUGAACUGUCCGUCUGUCUGUCUAUCCGUCCGAAAACUUUAGCAUUGGUCAUAACUUUUGCAAUAUUGAAGAAAGCAACUUGAUAUUUAGCAUGCAUGUGUAUCUCAUUGAGCUGCACAUUUUGAGUGGUGCAAGGUCAAGGUCAUCCUUCAAGGUCAGAGGUCAAUAUCCAAUGGAAGUAAU